This 520-nucleotide ribosomal RNA is filed under the name uncultured Glomeromycotina. Its description in RNAcentral is "SSU rRNA". It matches the Rfam family "Eukaryotic small subunit ribosomal RNA", at positions 569 to 1091 of the family's 1831-position model. The record is from RNAcentral. Lineage: Eukaryota; Fungi; Glomeromycota.
AGCAGCCGCGGUAAUUCCAGCUCCAAUAGCGUAUAUUAAAGUUGUUGCAGUUAAAAAGCUCGUAGUUGAAUUUCGGGGUCAGUAGGUUGGUCGUGCCACUGGUAUGCACUGGCUUCACUGAUUCCUCCUUCUUGUAGAACCGUAAUGCCAUUAAUUUGGUGUUUCGGGGAAACAGGACUGUUACUUUGAAAAAAUUAGAGUGUUUAAAGCAGGCUAACGCCUGAAUACAUUAGCAUGGAAUAAUGAAAUAGGACGUUCGACCCUAUUUUGUUGGUUUCUAGGAUUGACGUAAUGAUUAAUAGGGAUAGUUGGGGGCAUUAGUAUUCAAUUGUCAGAGGUGAAAUUCUUGGAUUUAUUGAAGACUAACUACUGCGAAAGCAUUUGCCAAGGAUGUUUUCAUUAAUCAAGAACGAAAGUUAGGGGAUCGAAGACGAUCAGAUACCGUCGUAGUCUUAACCAUAAACUAUGCCGACUAGGGAUCGGAUGAUGUUAAUUUUUAAUGACUCAUUCGGCGCCUUAC